UGGCUCAGGACGAACGCUGGCGGCGUGCCUAAUACAUGCAAGUAGAACGCUGAGGACUGGUGCUUGCACCGGUCCAAGGAGUUGCGAACGGGUGAGUAACGCGUAGGUAACCUACCUCAUAGCGGGGGAUAACUAUUGGAAACGAUAGCUAAUACCGCAUAAAAGUGUUUAACCCAUGUUAAACAUUUAAAAGGUGCAACUGCAUCACUAUGAGAUGGACCUGCGUUGUAUUAGCUAGUUGGUGAGGUAACGGCUCACCAAGGCGACGAUACAUAGCCGACCUGAGAGGGUGAUCGGCCACACUGGGACUGAGACACGGCCCAGACUCCUACGGGAGGCAGCAGUAGGGAAUCUUCGGCAAUGGACGGAAGUCUGACCGAGCAACGCCGCGUGAGUGAAGAAGGUUUUCGGAUCGUAAAGCUCUGUUGUUAGAGAAGAAUGAUGGUGGGAGUGGAAAAUCCACCAUGUGACGGUAACUAACCAGAAAGGGACGGCUAACUACGUGCCAGCAGC
Molecule: ribosomal RNA, 513 nt
Filed under: Streptococcus dysgalactiae subsp. equisimilis
Lineage: Bacteria; Bacillati; Bacillota; Bacilli; Lactobacillales; Streptococcaceae
Description: bacterial SSU rRNA
Rfam family: Bacterial small subunit ribosomal RNA
Source: RNAcentral